Molecule: long non-coding RNA, 463 nt
Organism: Oncorhynchus tshawytscha (Chinook salmon)
Lineage: Eukaryota; Metazoa; Chordata; Actinopteri; Salmoniformes; Salmonidae
Source: Ensembl
AACAGAUCUGGGGUCAGGCUAUAGAAGGAGACAACAGAUCUGGGGUCAGGCUAUAGAAGGAGACAACAGAUAUGCCACUAUAUAGGGAAUAGGGCUCUGGUCUAUAGUAGUACCACUAUAUAGUGAAUAGGGCUCUGGUCUAUGGUAGUGUAAUAUAUAGGGAAUAGGGCUCUGGUCUAUAGUAGUAACACUAUAUAGGGAAUAGGGCUCUGGUCUAUAGUAGUGUAAUAUAUAGGGAAUAGGGCUCUGGUCUAUAGUAGUGUACUAUAUAGGGAAUAGGACUCUGGUCUAUAGUAGUACCACUAUAUAGGGAAUAGGGCUCUGGUCUAUAGUAGUACCACUAUAUAGGGAAUAGGGCUCUGGUCUAUAGUAGUUACCACUAUAUAGGGAAUAGGGCUCUGGUCUAUAGUAGUGUACUAUAUAGGGAAUAGGGCUCUGGUCUAUAGUAGUACCACUAUAUAGG